This 286-nucleotide long non-coding RNA is filed under the name Elaeis guineensis (African oil palm). RNAcentral describes it as "long non-coding RNA (EGUI_LNC046481)". Lineage: Eukaryota; Viridiplantae; Streptophyta; Magnoliopsida; Arecales; Arecaceae. The record is from RNAcentral.
UAAUUCAAUCAUUCAAUCAUACAACAUCCCAGACGAGCUAUGAAUAUGGAAUCAUGUCAAAACUAAAUACUCAUUUAUAUAUAUUUUGAUCAGAAGAUGAUGAUUCAGUUGAUGAUAUAUUAGAAAUCUCUUUCUAAUUAUCAUCCUGCUUUGAUCAAAAUUUUUUUGAAUCAUUAAUUUGUGAGAUCAUAUAGGAUGUUCACUCUCCUUAUCAGGAGUGAUUGAUUCUUUAUUGACCACUCACAAUCUUCAUGUAUAUUUUAUCAUAUCCAAAACAUCUCCCACA